UACGUGGGGGGCAAGCGUUGUUCGGAAUUACUGGGCGUAAAGGGCUCGUAGGCGGCCAACUAAGUCGGACGUGAAAUCCCUCGGCUUAACCGGGGAACUGCGUCCGAUACUGGAUGGCUUGAGUUUGGGAGAGGGAUGCGGAAUUCCAGGUGUAGCGGUGGAAUGCGUAGAGAUCGGGAAGAACAUCAGUGGCGAAGGCGGCCUGCUGGGCUGUUGCUGACGCUGAGGCGCGACAGCGUGGGGAGCAAACAGG
Molecule: ribosomal RNA, 253 nt
Filed under: uncultured bacterium
Lineage: Bacteria
Description: partial 16S ribosomal RNA
Rfam family: Bacterial small subunit ribosomal RNA
Source: RNAcentral